GUGGUCCCUCUUGUUUACAUUGCCGGUGUCCUUACUGGGCGCCCCAAUGUAGAGGAACUUACCCACGAUGGUAGGAAGGUGGACGUCGCUGAGGCAUUCAAGAUCGCCGGAGAUGAUGGCUGCUUCAAGCUGAACCCCAAGGAGGGGUUGGCCAUUGUGAAUGGCACGGCUGCGGCCGCCGCCCUUGCAGCCAUGGUGUUGUACGAUUGCAACAUCUUUGUUGUCCUAUCUGAUGUUUUUUCCGCAAUGUUUUGUGAGGUAAUAUAUGGCAAAUCAUAGUUUGCCGACCAUGUAAUCCACAAGCUGAAACAUCACCCUAGCAUAAUUGAGGCCGCGGCUAUCAUGGAGCACAUCCUGGCUGGCAGCCCAUUCAUGGUCUAUGGCAAGAUGGUGAACGACAUGGACCCACACCUCAAGCCAAAACAGGACAGAUAUGCGAUCCGCACCGCACCACAGUGGCUCGGCCCGCAGAUCGAGGUCGUUCGGGCGGCUACCAAGUGUAUCGAGUGUGAGAUGAACUCUAUGAGUGACAAUCCAGUCAUUGACGUGCACCGUGGCAUAGCACUCCAUGGUGGUAACUUCCAGGGAACACCCAUCAGCGUGUCCAUGGACAACACCCUCCUUGCCAUCGCCAGCAUUGGGAAGCUCAUGUUCGCGCAGUUCUCUGAGCUCGUGAAUGAGUUCUACAACAAUGGCAUGACAUCAAACCUGGCUGGCAGUUGGGACCCGAGCUUAGACUAUGGUCUGAAAGGCAUUGAGAUCGCCAUGGCCGCCUAUUGCUCGGAGCUCCAGUACCUUGCCAACCCGUUGACAACCCAUGUCCAAAGUGCCGAGCAGCACAACCAGGGGGUGAACUCACUCGGCCUUGUCUCAGCCAGGAAGACUGCGGAGGCGGUGGACGUAUUGAAGCUCAUGUCCUCGACGUACCUGGUGGCACUUUGCCAGGCCGUCAACCUUCACCACCUGGAGCAAAACAUCAAAAUCUUUGUCAACAGAUGUGUGGUGCAAGCUGCUAAGAAAGUGGUCGACGCCACCGGUGUUGAGAAGAAGCUCGCGGCCGUCGUCAACCGCGUGGACGUUUUGAGGUACACUGACAACCCAUGCAACGCCAACUACCCCCUGAUGCACAAGCUGUGCAGUGUGCUCCUCGAGCACGCUCUUGCUAGCAGGAGCUCUGACGGCAAGGUGUUGUCCAAGAUCAGAGGAGGAGUUAGUGUAGCGUUGCCACGGGAGGUCGAAGCGGCGCGUGUGGCCGUAGAGAUGGGCAGUGCACCCAUCACAAACAUGACCAGGGGGAGCAGGUCAUUCCCGCUCUAUCAGUUUGUUCGUGAGGAACUCGGAUGCGUGUUUCUGACCAGGGAGAAGCUUCUCGCACCCGACGAAGAGUGUGACAAGGUGUUCGUGGGGAUCAGCCAAGGCAAGCUCAUUGACCCCAUGCUUGAGUGCCUGAAAGAGUGGAACGGUGAGCCUCUGCCCAUCAACUAA
Molecule: ribosomal RNA, 1485 nt
Filed under: Triticum aestivum (bread wheat)
Lineage: Eukaryota; Viridiplantae; Streptophyta; Magnoliopsida; Poales; Poaceae
Description: partial small subunit ribosomal RNA
Source: RNAcentral